AAAUUGAAGAGUUUGAUCAUGGCUCAGAUUGAACGCUGGCGGCAGGCCUAACACAUGCAAGUCGAACGGUAACAGGAAGCAGCUUGCUGCUUCGCUGACGAGUGGCGGACGGGUGAGUAAUGUCUGGGAAACUGCCUGAUGGAGGGGGAUAACUACUGGAAACGGUGGCUAAUACCGCAUAACGUCGCAAGACCAAAGAGGGGGACCUUCGGGCCUCUUGCCAUCAGAUGUGCCCAGAUGGGAUUAGCUUGUUGGUGAGGUAACGGCUCACCAAGGCGACGAUCCCUAGCUGGUCUGAGAGGAUGACCAGCCACACUGGAACUGAGACACGGUCCAGACUCCUACGGGAGGCAGCAGUGGGGAAUAUUGCACAAUGGGCGCAAGCCUGAUGCAGCCAUGCCGCGUGUAUGAAGAAGGCCUUCGGGUUGUAAAGUACUUUCAGCGGGGAGGAAGGUGUUGUGGUUAAUAACCACAGCAAUUGACGUUACCCGCAGAAGAAGCACCGGCUAACUCCGUGCCAGCAGCCGCGGUAAUACGGAGGGUGCAAGCGUUAAUCGGAAUUACUGGGCGUAAAGCGCACGCAGGCGGUCUGUCAAGUCGGAUGUGAAAUCCCCGGGCUCAACCUGGGAACUGCAUUCGAAACUGGCAGGCUUGAGUCUUGUAGAGGGGGGUAGAAUUCCAGGUGUAGCGGUGAAAUGCGUAGAGAUCUGGAGGAAUACCGGUGGCGAAGGCGGCCCCCUGGACAAAGACUGACGCUCAGGUGCGAAAGCGUGGGGAGCAAACAGGAUUAGAUACCCUGGUAGUCCACGCCGUAAACGAUGUCUACUUGGAGGUUGUGCCCUUGAGGCGUGGCUUCCGGAGCUAACGCGUUAAGUAGACCGCCUGGGGAGUACGGCCGCAAGGUUAAAACUCAAAUGAAUUGACGGGGGCCCGCACAAGCGGUGGAGCAUGUGGUUUAAUUCGAUGCAACGCGAAGAACCUUACCUGGUCUUGACAUCCACGGAAGUUUUCAGAGAUGAGAAUGUGCCUUCGGGAACCGUGAGACAGGUGCUGCAUGGCUGUCGUCAGCUCGUGUUGUGAAAUGUUGGGUUAAGUCCCGCAACGAGCGCAACCCUUAUCCUUUGUUGCCAGCGAUUAGGUCGGGAACUCAAAGGAGACUGCCAGUGAUAAACUGGAGGAAGGUGGGGAUGACGUCAAGUCAUCAUGGCCCUUACGACCAGGGCUACACACGUGCUACAAUGGCGCAUACAAAGAGAAGCGACCUCGCGAGAGCAAGCGGACCUCAUAAAGUGCGUCGUAGUCCGGAUUGGAGUCUGCAACUCGACUCCAUGAAGUCGGAAUCGCUAGUAAUCGUGGAUCAGAAUGCCACGGUGAAUACGUUCCCGGGCCUUGUACACACCGCCCGUCACACCAUGGGAGUGGGUUGCAAAAGAAGUAGGUAGCUUAACCUUCGGGAGGGCGCUUACCACUUUGUGAUUCAUGACUGGGGUGAAGUCGUAACAAGGUAACCGUAGGGGAACCUGCGGUUGGAUCACCUCCUUACCUUAAAGAAGC
This 1554-nucleotide ribosomal RNA is filed under the name Salmonella enterica subsp. enterica serovar Tennessee. Its description in RNAcentral is "bacterial SSU rRNA". It matches the Rfam family "Bacterial small subunit ribosomal RNA". The record is from RNAcentral. Lineage: Bacteria; Pseudomonadati; Pseudomonadota; Gammaproteobacteria; Enterobacterales; Enterobacteriaceae.